CAUAACUGUUUUUUCUAUCUUCUCAGCUCCAACUGAAUCUAUUCAAGUCCAGUUGUUUACAAGUGGUUGCAGCUUCAUUGUCUCCAUGGUUGUUUAAGUCCAAUCUUGCUGCUACAAACCUUUCAGGAUACAUGCUGCUUCUGUUUUCUGUUUCUCUUUCAAGUCCAAUGGACAUGGAUAAGUUGCCAGGACCGGUUUCAGCGGCAUAGUUUCUUCUUUCUUCAUUCCUGCUCAAUGGGGCAAGGAAGGUGUUCUUUUUUCCAUCAUCACACCACUUGAGUUCACAGUUCCUAAGGUUGUUGGGAGCUUCUGUGGCUUCCUUUUGUUCCAUGAACAUAUGGCUGUUGAAGUGUCUAAAGCCAUUUUGAAUCUCUUGCUCCUUCUGUGAUCUGUCACAGGAUGUGAGGCAACUGUCCACUGAGCAAUCGUUUGGCUGGUUGGUGUGUGUUUGCUGAGGGCAAAAUCCUUGCAAUUCCUUCAGCUCUGAGAAUGCUGAGUUAAGGCACUGAGAUGAGACUUUUGACACCAGCUCUGACAGUUGAACUUUGGCAGUUUCAAGUCCAACUAUUCCCAAAUUUUGUCUGCCAAGAGUCUCCUGAGCUUUCUCCAACACAGACUGAAGCGCCUCGCUUAUAUGCAAAUCUCUGCAUAAAGAGCAUAGAAAAUUACCAUCACUUCCACAAACAAGAUUACAUGAAGCAUGUGAAAAAUGUUCAGUUUUUCUUACUUGUUAGCCUGCGGUCCAAGGCUUAAUUUGUUCAUGUGAGUUCCACUGGUUUCAGAAAGUCUCUCCCCAGUUGCUGCACUUGUUGCUGAUAAGAUUCUUGCUCAAUCUAUACUUCUGAUGACAAAAGGAAAACAAUAUCAGUAAUUGCACCAGUGUAUAAUUGAUAUAAAGUAAUUUUGGUCAGCACGUACCUGAAGAUGGCUCUUCAAAUGAUAUAAGGUGACGUGUGUACUCACUGUCAGCUCCACCUAACUGAUUGACUGCUUCUAUAAAUCUGGCAUGAAGAUCUGCUGUCCAUUUUAAUCUUGGCUUAGCAUCAGUUGAAAGCACAAGUCCAGAAUCUCCAGAACCAUUUCCUGUUUGAAGGAACAUGUGCCUCUCAGAAGGGAUUGGCAUUCUGGAAGAAGAAUGAAUGUUUUUUCCUUGGUGUUGGUGAUGAUGGUAAAAGUGGGAAUCAUAUGCUCACAUUUGAAGGAGUAUUUCCUUUUUUUUCUGACUUGGUUCUGGAGAAUCUGAUAUCCCUCUCGACUUGGAACAGCCAUUAUUUUUGUUUUAGAGGAAGAUUCUUAGAACUUAGAAGCCUAAAUUUGUUGUUUCAAACCUUGAUCUUGCUGCCAUUUUACAAGUCCUUUCUUAAUGUACAUACAUAGUUCUUUAUUAGCAUGAUAUAUGAGGUUGGGCAAGGUUUAUCUUUGGCAAAGUUUUGAGAGAGAGGUUAUAUAUGAAGAACUGCAGCUGAAGGAUUCCAUUGACUAGAGCACCAUGGCAUGCAAAGGAAGGUUAAAAAAAAUUGUGGAAGAUGCUUCUCAUGGAACUGUUUGGAGGUAAGGAAUAGAAUAAGAAUACGUUCUGUUUUGUCUCCUUCAAUAAGUUUGGUACUUAUUCAGCCUGCACCGUUUAAAAUAUAAGGAAGAUGGACCCUGAACUUUUCAUUCUUUCUUUGGCACAAAACCUCUGGCCCCAUCCUCUGGAAUCCUAAGUAGGCGGGACCUAAUAAAAAGGGAAAGAUAGAAGAAUUGUACUUGCUUUUAUACUUGCAUUUGGUUAAACACAGUACUACUGCAUAGGACCACUUCCCUUGCCCUUGACUUGUACCAUGGUUAAUGUAGCUGAUUCUUGUGUAAGUAUAGGUACAUUUGUCAUUCCUUAUGUUACCACACUCACUUUUUA
This is a non-coding RNA of Vigna umbellata (rice bean), 1897 nucleotides long. The record is from RefSeq and is a predicted model, not a curated record. Lineage: Eukaryota; Viridiplantae; Streptophyta; Magnoliopsida; Fabales; Fabaceae.